AUUUGAUAGUACCUUACUACUUGGAUACCUGUGGUAAUUCUAGAGCUAAUACAUGCUAAAAACCUCGACUUCGGAAGGGGUGUAUUUAUUAGAUAAAAAACCAAUGCCCUUCGGGGCUCCUUGGUGAUUCAUAAUAACUCAACGAAUCGCAUGGCCUUGCGCCGGCGAUGGUUCAUUCAAAUUUCUGCCCUAUCAACUUUCGAUGGUAGUAUAGAGGACUACCAUGGUUUCUACGGGUAACGGGGAAUUAGGGUUCUAUUCCGGAGAGGGAGCCUGAGAAACGGCUACCACAUCCAAGGAAGGCAGCAGGCGCGCAAAUUACCCAAUCCCGACACGGGGAGGUAGUGACAAUAAAUACUGAUCCAGGGCUCUUUUGGGUCUUGGAAUUGGAAUGAGUACAAUUUAAAUCCCUUAACGAGGAACAAUUGGAGGGCAAGUCUGGUGCCAGCAGCCGCGGUAAUUCCAGCUCCAAUAGCGUAUAUUAAAGUUGUUGCAGUUAAAAAGCUCGUAGUUGAAACUUGGGUCUGGCUGACCGGUCCGCCUCACCGCGUGCACUGGCUUGGCCGGACCUUUCCUUCUGGGGAACCGCAUGGCCUUCAUUGGUCGUGUUGGGGAUCCAGGACUUUUACUUUGAAAAAAUUAGAGUGUUCAAAGCAGGCCUAUGCUCGAAUACAUUAGCAUGGAAUAAUAACAAUAGNCGUGUGGUU
RNAcentral lists this ribosomal RNA (707 nucleotides) under Ramalea cochleata. RNAcentral's name for it is "SSU rRNA". It matches the Rfam family "Eukaryotic small subunit ribosomal RNA", at positions 119 to 836 of the family's 1831-position model. The record is from RNAcentral. Lineage: Eukaryota; Fungi; Ascomycota; Lecanoromycetes; Lecanorales; Cladoniaceae.